RNAcentral lists this ribosomal RNA (465 nucleotides) under uncultured bacterium. RNAcentral describes it as "partial 16S ribosomal RNA". It matches the Rfam family "Bacterial small subunit ribosomal RNA", at positions 338 to 795 of the family's 1533-position model. The record is from RNAcentral.
CCUACGGGUGGCUGCAGUAGGGAAUCUUCCACAAUGGACGAAAGUCUGAUGGAGCAACGCCGCGUGGGUGAAGAAGGUUUUCGGCUCGUAAAGCCCUGUUGGUAGUGAAGAAAGAUAGGGGUAGUAACUAGCCUUUAUUUGACGGUACUUACUUAGAAGGUCCCGGCUAACUACGUGCCAGCAGCCGCGUUAAUACGUCGGUGGCAAGCGUUGUCCGGAGUUAUUGGGCGUAAAGCGAGUGCAGGCGGUUGAAUAAGUCUGAUGUGAAAACCUUCGGCUCAACCGGAGAAUUGCAUUAGAAACUGUUGAACUGGAGUGUAGAAGAGGAGAGUGGAACUCUAGGUGUAGCGGUGGAAUGCGUAGAUAUAUGGAAGAACACUAGUGGCGAAGGCGGCCCGCUGGACUGCAACUGACGCUGAGGCUCGAAAGCAUGGGGAGCGAACAGGAUUAGAUACCCUAGUAGUC